Molecule: ribosomal RNA, 494 nt
Filed under: Klebsiella pneumoniae
Lineage: Bacteria; Pseudomonadati; Pseudomonadota; Gammaproteobacteria; Enterobacterales; Enterobacteriaceae
Also listed under: 2 other names
Description: bacterial SSU rRNA
Rfam family: Bacterial small subunit ribosomal RNA
Source: RNAcentral
AGACAGGUGCUGCAUGGCUGUCGUCAGCUCGUGUUGUGAAAUGUUGGGUUAAGUCCCGCAACGAGCGCAACCCUUAUCCUUUGUUGCCAGCGGUCCGGCCGGGAACUCAAAGGAGACUGCCAGUGAUAAACUGGAGGAAGGUGGGGAUGACGUCAAGUCAUCAUGGCCCUUACGACCAGGGCUACACACGUGCUACAAUGGCAUAUACAAAGAGAAGCGACCUCGCGAGAGCAAGCGGACCUCAUAAAGUAUGUCGUAGUCCGGAUUGGAGUCUGCAACUCGACUCCAUGAAGUCGGAAUCGCUAGUAAUCGUAGAUCAGAAUGCUACGGUGAAUACGUUCCCGGGCCUUGUACACACCGCCCGUCACACCAUGGGAGUGGGUUGCAAAAGAAGUAGGUAGCUUAACCUUCGGGAGGGCGCUUACCACUUUGUGAUUCAUGACUGGGGUGAAGUCGUAACAAGGUAACCGUAGGGGAACCUGCGGUUGGAUCAC